RNAcentral lists this unclassified non-coding RNA (349 nucleotides) under fungal sp. RNAcentral describes it as "partial internal transcribed spacer region". The stretch from base 1 to 46 matches the Rfam family "Eukaryotic small subunit ribosomal RNA", at positions 1786 to 1831 of the family's 1831-position model. Lineage: Eukaryota; Fungi. The record is from RNAcentral.
AAGUCGUAACAAGGUUUCCGUAGGUGAACCUGCGGAAGGAUCAUUAACACGUAUCCAAACGUUAAACCCCCCUGUGAACCUUCAGUGUACUCGUACGUCCUUCAGGGACGUCUGCAAGGAGCGUGCAUGUUGUGCGAAGCAAGUGGCCUGGCAUCCCCAAGCAGUUAGUGUCUGAAAGUGUCAUUAACUGUGUAAGGAUGACGCAGUCACGAUCGUUGGAGGCCCACACGGCCGACGACCGGGCCUCUGGGCGCAAGCCCCCCUAUAACAAACGCUGCUAAUCGCGGCCGCGAUAAUACGCAGUCGACCAAAAACCGAACAACUGUUAACAAUGGAUAUCUUGGUUCUC